CUCGGGAUAGCUCAGUUGGUAGAGCGAUGGACUGUAGAAGAAAGUAGGUUUCCAUUGGUCACUGGUUCAAAUCCGGUUCCCGAGA
Molecule: transfer RNA, 85 nt
Filed under: Flavobacteriaceae bacterium
Lineage: Bacteria; Pseudomonadati; Bacteroidota; Flavobacteriia; Flavobacteriales; Flavobacteriaceae
Description: tRNA-Tyr
Rfam family: tRNA
About the family: Transfer RNA (tRNA) molecules are approximately 80 nucleotides in length.
Source: RNAcentral